RNAcentral lists this ribosomal RNA (672 nucleotides) under Streptomyces canus. RNAcentral describes it as "bacterial SSU rRNA". It matches the Rfam family "Bacterial small subunit ribosomal RNA", at positions 56 to 749 of the family's 1533-position model. Lineage: Bacteria; Bacillati; Actinomycetota; Actinomycetes; Kitasatosporales; Streptomycetaceae. The record is from RNAcentral.
UGCAGUCGACGAUGACCACUUCGGUGGGGAUUAGUGGCGAACGGGUGAGUAACACGUGGGCAAUCUGCCCUUCACUCUGGGACAAGCCCUGGAAACGGGGUCUAAUACCGGAUACCACUACCGCAGGCAUCUGUGGUGGUUGAAAGCUCCGGCGGUGAAGGAUGAGCCCGCGGCCUAUCAGCUUGUUGGUGAGGUAAUGGCUCACCAAGGCGACGACGGGUAGCCGGCCUGAGAGGGCGACCGGCCACACUGGGACUGAGACACGGCCCAGACUCCUACGGGAGGCAGCAGUGGGGAAUAUUGCACAAUGGGCGAAAGCCUGAUGCAGCGACGCCGCGUGAGGGAUGACGGCCUUCGGGUUGUAAACCUCUUUCAGCAGGGAAGAAGCGAAAGUGACGGUACCUGCAGAAGAAGCGCCGGCUAACUACGUGCCAGCAGCCGCGGUAAUACGUAGGGCGCAAGCGUUGUCCGGAAUUAUUGGGCGUAAAGAGCUCGUAGGCGGCUUGUCACGUCGGGUGUGAAAGCCCGGGGCUUAACCCCGGGUCUGCAUUCGAUACGGGCUAGCUAGAGUGUGGUAGGGGAGAUCGGAAUUCCUGGUGUAGCGGUGAAAUGCGCAGAUAUCAGAGGAACACCGGUGGCGAAGGCGGAUCUCUGGGCCAUUACUGACGCUGA